CCUACGGGGGUCAGCAGUGGGGAAUAUUGCACAAUGGGGGAAACCCUGAUGCAGCAACGCAGCGUGGGUGAAGAAGUAUUUCGGUAUGUAAAGCCCUAUCAGCAGGGAAGAGAAUGACGGUACCUGACUAAGAAGCCCCGGCUAACUACGUGACAGCAGCCGCGGUAAUACGGAGGGUGCGAGCGUUAUUCGGAAUUACUGGGCGUAAAGCGCUCGUAGGCGGUAUGUCAAGUCAAGGGUGAAAUCCCCGCGCUCAACGUGGGAACUGCCUUUGAAACUGGCAAACUGGAGUGUGUGAGAGGAUAGCGGAAUUCCAGGUGUAGGAGUGAAAUCCGUAGAUAUCUGGAGGAACAUCAGUGGCGAAGGCGACUAUCUGGCACAUAACUGACGCUGAGGAGCGAAAGCGUGGGUAGCAAAUAGGAUUAGAUACCCUGGUAGUC
RNAcentral lists this ribosomal RNA (440 nucleotides) under uncultured bacterium. Its description in RNAcentral is "partial 16S ribosomal RNA". It matches the Rfam family "Bacterial small subunit ribosomal RNA", at positions 338 to 795 of the family's 1533-position model. The record is from RNAcentral.